RNAcentral lists this long non-coding RNA (2124 nucleotides) under Triticum aestivum (bread wheat). Its description in RNAcentral is "long non-coding RNA (TAES_LNC021963)". Lineage: Eukaryota; Viridiplantae; Streptophyta; Magnoliopsida; Poales; Poaceae. The record is from RNAcentral.
UAUGCCAUUGGAUUGAAAAUGGACGGUACAGAUAGGAAUGGAGGUCCCUCAGGCCACUUAUUGUACAUUUGAUGAAAACCCCCCUACUCAGGGUCAGAGAUUAAACAUGACCUUUUCCUGUAACACCCCCAGCUUCCUCAUAUCCAAUCUUGACAACUUUAGAUUUUCACAGCAUUUUUUUUUUGCAGGGAGAUUUUCACAGCAUUGUCCUCGUUCUGUUCGUUGCAAAUCCCAAGAUGGAACAGAUCAUUCUGUCCCUAGUAAAUCUCAAGCUGGACCACCCCAGGCAUAAAUAUACGAGUACAUGUCAAGCACAAAAUUUCGAAUACAUGUCCAAGUGGAUCACCCUAGGCAGAAAUAUUUUAGUGCAUGACAUCCGUCCUAAUUUGAGUACACAAGAGACAUAUACAUAUAUAACUUGUACAUAACAUGACGAUCAUUUUCUAGUACGUGAACAGCGAGCCCUGAGUAUGGACUAAAGUGAUCCCCGCUGAAUACGCAUCAGUACCAAAGCUUGCAUAGGGUUUGUUAUCUGAUUGCACAUUGAAGAAAAGCUAUUCCCUUUUGCCUCCAGUUAUAGUGCAUCUUGCUCAUCAAUCUUUGCGUGCUGGAAAAGAUGGCACCAAACAAUCUUUCAGUUUUGAGCACAAGACGUGUAAGUGUACUUAAAUAUGUAUCAACAAUACAUUGUAAUAAGCAGGAACAAAUCUGGACGCUGUGUAGCAGAAAAAUAAUACUACUUGCCUUCUAAGAAGGGAAAAAUGAAACUCUAACAGCAAACAAAUAAAUAUAUAUUACGAUGGCACAAAGGCACAACUGCACCAGAUCCAAAGCAGAAACAUGAGUCAAAUACAUGGAAGAGAAGCAUUUCCUGCUCUUGUAUGCAGAGACUAGAGAUUCUAAAAAAAGUCUUGCUUCAAUAAUAAUUUGACAGAACAAGUUUACCGCUAGUACAAGGAAACAUUUUUUCCUCUGUUGGUGGAAUGGUGAAGAUGAAUAACUCUUAUCACAGAAUAAACAAAGUAAACCACUUCACGUUGUGCAAACCAAUUAAAUUGCAGCAGAUUUUGACAAUUCAAUUGCUCCUAGAAAUGCAGCAAUACUUGCCACUAUGAACCUGGCUCAACCGGUUUUCUGCAACAUAAGUUUAAAUCAUCUAACCCUUUACAUAGUUAAUCAUGUUCUGGUAUCAAAAAAUCUGAUCAAAAUGUUAUAUUUCAACAGUUCAUCUGUGUGGUUGUAGUGAUUCUACCACUGCCAUUGAGCCAGGGUGGAAUGCUUUACAAUGUGUGUUUUGCAUUUGUUUUUCAUUCCUAUGUUGCAAGCAGGGUGGUCAAAUUCCCUCUGGGAUGUCUUCCUGUUAUGGUCUUACACAUGUGAGUUGUAGAUCAUUUUCAGAAGCGUCUAACCUGGUGGUUUUUUUUUUCUACUUCUAUGAAGGGAGAAAUACCAAUGUUUAGUUACGCAACGCAAGAGUAUGCACCCAAGCAUUGGUACAGGGGAGGUUGCGUAUGAUGUUGGCUCAAAGCGGAUGGAUGUCAGGACUAUGCAAAACGAAAAUGACAGCAGAGAAGAAGUCAGCACAAGUCAACAAGCCACAGAAAAUGCACCUGGCAUUACAAUAGAAAACUAUAGGAGGGAGAAGGGGGAGGGGGAGGGGGAGAAACGGGGCUGACCUUGCAACUGAGCCUGCGAGGCGAACGGGGCGAGGAGACGCCUUGCCUCCGGUGAGCUAUUGCUGGAUCUAGGAGCAACGGGGAGGAGGAAACCGUGGCAACAUCACCACACACUUGAUCUCUACUAGCUUGCCCUUCGGAUCUAAGAAUGUGCAGGUGACCGGGCGGGGCGCCCGUGGCCACCAGGGAGGAGGAAACCGUGGUCGCGACGGCCAGGUCCCGGACGACGAUGCGCAACGCGAUGUUGGGGUGCCCUGGAACGGAUCCAAGCAACCUGGAUACUAGAGUAGGAAGGGAGGAGGCAGGGAAUAGGUGGCGUGGAAGUAGCCGUCGUCGACCAGGGAAGCAACGGAUCUGCCGAUCUGGGCAGCCGCCACCGUCGACGAGAGAGGGGAACGGGGAACGAGCGACACGGGGAGUCGUCUUGAAGGAGAAGGACCUGAAGCAA